AGCGAACGCUGGCGGCAGGCUUAACACAUGCAAGUCGAGCGGGCGUAGCAAUACGUCAGCGGCAGACGGGUGAGUAACACGUGGGAACGUACCUUUUGGUUCGGAACAACACAGGGAAACUUGUGCUAAUACCGAAUAAGCCCUUACGGGGAAAGAUUUAUCGCCGAAAGAUCGGCCCGCGUCUGAUUAGCUUGUUGGUGAGGCAACGGCUCACCAAGGCGACGAUCAGUAGCUGGCUGAGAGGAUGAUCAGCCACACUGGGACUGAGACACGGCCCAGACUCCUACGGGAGGCAGCAGGUGGGGAAUAUUGGACAAGUGGGGCAACCCUGAUCCAGCCAUGCCGCGUGGGUGAUGAAGGCCCUAGGGUUGUAAAGCUUCUUUUGUGCGGGAAGAUAA
This 398-nucleotide ribosomal RNA is filed under the name uncultured bacterium. RNAcentral's name for it is "bacterial SSU rRNA". It matches the Rfam family "Bacterial small subunit ribosomal RNA", at positions 29 to 451 of the family's 1533-position model. The record is from RNAcentral.